Eurytemora carolleeae is the source of this 558-nucleotide long non-coding RNA. RefSeq lists it as uncharacterized. The record is from RefSeq and is a predicted model, not a curated record. NCBI's taxonomy places the organism in Eukaryota, Metazoa, Arthropoda, Copepoda, Calanoida, Temoridae. The transcript is spliced from 5 exons.
AAUGCCUUUUUUAUUUUCAGAAAGUAUGUUUAAGAAUGCUUAGUCUUGUGAAUAAGACGGAACUUCAUCCAUUCUAUUUUAAUGAAUGUUAUUCUAACAACAUGAGCUUAAAUGUGUUUAUAUAGUAGGCUGUAUAUAUAUACUGAUAUAUAUACUGAUAAUAUAUAUUUCAAAUUCCAAAUCUAUCUCUACUCUGCGAACACCCCAAUUCAGGCAGGAUGUUUAGUGCCACCACAGCUGGAACCCAUGCAACUUUUCAUUACCUUCGACCAGACCAACAUAGGGAGGGGGGAGGCAUGAAGAAGUAUGGAAGUAAACAUAGUUUACAUGAAAUGGAAAAAUACGAUGUCAAUCAUCAUCAUCACCAUCAUCAUCAUCAUUCAAAGACUGAUUUGCGAGAUAGAGUUCAUCUGGAUUUAGAAGGGAAACCAUGUGAAAAUACUGGUUGCUCUCUGAGUAGAUUGAAGCCCUACUGUCUGAUGGGAGUUUUUAUUUCCAUUAUUAUUGGAUUCAUUGUUCUCAUUGUGUUCGUUAGCAUGGGAGGACUACAAACCUAGU